This 479-nucleotide ribosomal RNA is filed under the name uncultured bacterium. Its description in RNAcentral is "SSU rRNA". It matches the Rfam family "Bacterial small subunit ribosomal RNA", at positions 26 to 518 of the family's 1533-position model. The record is from RNAcentral.
AGAAUGAACGUUGGCGGCGUGGAUUAGGCAUGCAAGUCGCGCGAUAAGAGUAGCAAUACUUGGACAGCGGCGAAAGGGAGAGUAAUACAUAGGUACGUACCCUUGGGACUGGGAUAGCGGCGGGAAACUGCCGGUAAUACCAGAUGACGUUUCCGAACCAAAGGUGUGAAUCCGCCUGAGGAGCGGCCUAUGUCCUAUUAGCUUGUUGGUGGGGUAACGGCCUACCAAGGCAAAGAUGGGUAUGGGGUGUGAGAGCAUGCCCCCACUCACUGGGACUGAGACACUGCCCAGACACCUACGGGUGGCUGCAGUCGAGAAUCUUCGGCAAUGGACGCAAGUCUGACCGAGCGACGCCGCGUGCGGGAUGAAGGCCUUCGGGUUGUAAACCGCUGUCGUAGAGGAGGAAAUUCUGGUGGGUACUCCCAUCAGAUUGACUGAUUCUAGGAGGAAGGACCGGCUAAUCUCGUGCCAGCAGCCGC